CUUUGUGGAAGAGCUGUAUUGUCAUUCAAUAUUAUCUUGGUUCUUCAGAUGGAAAGAUCGUGAUUUGCUAUCUUUGCAGUUGUGACCAGAGAGAUUGAUGUUGGGGCUUGGUCUCAAGGUGAAGUAUUUUUAUUAUGAAAGUAACAUGUGCUCAUCAUCAGUAAUUAACCCAGAACUGGAAGAAUUUCCCAAUCCCAGCUCCUACUAAGUAUGAGUAUGUGGUAAGUAUUUUUUCAGUUAUUCUCUAGGCAUUUAAACUAAAGCAAGAUAAAAGGUGAAAUAUAAAAUAAAAAUUACACAAAACAUACUUUAAAUACACAAAUAGAAAGCUACCUCAGGCACUAUUCUGUCAGUGACUUUGUAAAUUUAAUAAUCAUUGUGGUCAUUUCCUGUGUCAGUGUACUUAUUUGCCCAUCAUUCUUUUUAAUAUUUAUAGAAUACUUUUAAUAGUUAGAAUACCCUGGGUGCAAGUUACAAUAACUCAAUUCACACUACCUCAGGCAAAGAAGAGAAUUUGCUGUUUAAAAUGAGCUGGAGAAAAAGAGAUUGGGCUGGCUUUGGGAAGGAAUGAGUCCAGGAACCCAGUGUAUCAUGGAGGUGACCUCUCUUUGCAUUUCUUAUCGCUGGUGAUAUGUUUGGCCACCUUCUUCCCUAGAGCAAAGCCAAGUUAUUCCAUGUAAUAAAAGUUAUUUCAUGAGAACCUGUUCCUGCUGAUCCCUUCUUUUUUGCAUGAUCCCAAAUUUACCAACCUCCUGGUUGGGUAAUCCUGAACUAAUUACUUCCCCU
RNAcentral lists this long non-coding RNA (786 nucleotides) under Fukomys damarensis (Damara mole-rat). RNAcentral describes it as "lncRNA (ENSFDAG00000026128.1)". Lineage: Eukaryota; Metazoa; Chordata; Mammalia; Rodentia; Bathyergidae. The record is from RNAcentral.